CUGGUACUGGUUCACGCCGCGACAAGGCGACCCAGCGACC
Molecule: non-coding RNA, 40 nt
Filed under: Catelliglobosispora koreensis DSM 44566
Lineage: Bacteria; Bacillati; Actinomycetota; Actinomycetes; Micromonosporales; Micromonosporaceae
Description: L31-Actinobacteria ribosomal protein leader
Rfam family: L31-Actinobacteria ribosomal protein leader
Source: RNAcentral